This 497-nucleotide ribosomal RNA is filed under the name uncultured bacterium. RNAcentral describes it as "partial 16S ribosomal RNA". It matches the Rfam family "Bacterial small subunit ribosomal RNA", at positions 28 to 507 of the family's 1533-position model. The record is from RNAcentral.
GAUGAACGCUGGCGGCGCGCCUAAUACAUGCAAGUCGAGCGAACGGACGAGAAGCUUGCUUCUCUGAUGUUAGCGGCGGACGGGUGAGUAACACGUGGAUAACCUACCUAUAAGACUGGGAUAACUUCGGGAAACCGGAGCUAAUACCGGAUAAUAUUUUGAACCGCAUGGUUCAAAAGUGAAAGACGGUCUUGCUGUCACUUAUAGAUGGAUCCGCGCUGCAUUAGCUAGUUGGUAAGGUAACGGCUUACCAAGGCAACGAUGCAUAGCCGACCUGAGAGGGUGAUCGGCCACACUGGAACUGAGACACGGUCCAGACUCCUACGGGAGGCAGCAGUAGGGAAUCUUCCGCAAUGGGCGGAAGCCUGACGGAGCAACGCCGCGUGAGUGAUGAAGGUCUUCGGAUCGUAAAACUCUGUUAUUAGGGAAGAACAUAUGUGUAAGUAACUGUGCACAUCUUGACGGUACCUAAUCAGAAAGCCACGGCUAACUACGUG